Molecule: non-coding RNA, 290 nt
Organism: Biomphalaria pfeifferi
Lineage: Eukaryota; Metazoa; Mollusca; Gastropoda; Planorbidae
Source: the annotation of a GenBank genome assembly
CACUUUGAUAUGAUCAUUUAUUCUCUAUAAAUGGAGAACACCAAAAAAAUGUUCAAUUUUAAUCAUUUACUGUUAAAAAAUUGAAACAACCGUUAAUGAAAUUUCCCAAAUAGUGUCAAGUGCGUAGAUGUAUUUGUAAGGCACAGUCACUUCUGGCAAACCAGUCAGUACCAGAAAAUGACCAGUUUUUUUUAGAAAAAAAAAUGAACAUAAUUUCCAACCAAAAAAAAAAAAAAAUCUACAUGAAAAAUAUUUCUAUAAAAUAAAAUGGACAUGGUGAAACAUGAUUU